Small nucleolar RNA from Erinaceus europaeus (western European hedgehog), 77 nucleotides. The record is from Ensembl. Lineage: Eukaryota; Metazoa; Chordata; Mammalia; Eulipotyphla; Erinaceidae.
UGGAUCUGUGAUGAGCUGUGGAUGCCAGAUGAGUGAGUCCUCCAUGACGGGUCAGUGUCUGAAAGUCUGAGAUUCAC